RNAcentral lists this ribosomal RNA (497 nucleotides) under uncultured bacterium. RNAcentral describes it as "partial 16S ribosomal RNA". It matches the Rfam family "Bacterial small subunit ribosomal RNA", at positions 28 to 507 of the family's 1533-position model. The record is from RNAcentral.
GAUGAACGCUGGCGGCGUGCCUAAUACAUGCAAGUCGAGCGAACAGAUGAGGAGCUUGCUCCUCUGACGUUAGCGGCGGACGGGUGAGUAACACGUGGAUAACCUACCUAUAAGACUGGGAUAACUUCGGGAAACCGGAGCUAAUACCGGAUAAUAUAUUGAACCGUAUGGUUCAAUAGUGAAAGACGGUUUUGCUGUCACUUAUAGAUGGAUCCGCGCUGCCUUAGCUAGUUGGUAAGGUAACGGUUUACCAAGGCAACGAUGCGUAGCCGACCUGAGAGGAUGAUCAGCCGCACUGGAACUGAGACGCGGUCCAGACUCCUACGGGAGGCAGCGGUAGGGAAUCUUCCGGAAGGGGCGAAAGCCUGACGGAGCAACGCCGCGUGAGUCAGGAGGGUCUUCGGAUCGUAAAACUCUGUUAUUAGGGAAGAACAAAUGUGUAAGUAAAGAUGCACAUCUUGACGGUACCUAAUCAGAAAGCCACGGCUAACUACGUG